This is a non-coding RNA of Rattus norvegicus (Norway rat), 69 nucleotides long. The record is from Rfam. NCBI's taxonomy places the organism in Eukaryota, Metazoa, Chordata, Mammalia, Rodentia, Muridae.
GGGGAUUUAGCUCAGUGGUAGAGCACUUGCCUAGUAAGCGCAAGGCCCUGGGUUCGGUCCCCAGCUCCA